CAGCUGUUCAUCAUCUGGAAUUUAUAACCUUGAAUUGAAAGUCUUUUCUUCUGGUUCUGUCUGUGACCUCUGUAUUCUGAAAGUAGGAGAGUCUUUUUAAUUUUAACUGAAUUUGUUAAUUUAGUACCUAAUACAAUGUCUUUAAGAUUAGGAAAAAGACACGUAGAACUAGCCAAAUAUUGGCUACCAUCAGCGGGCACUUUUGGAGCAUCUGCUUUCCUCACUCUAAUAUACUUCACUGACUGGAAAGUAACCAACCAAUACAUCCCAUUCUACAACACCAAGUUCAAGGAUUGAAUUUUAUAUAUAUUAUCACACUUCUCAGCAUAAACUAGAUUACUGCGCGUCUGUCCUAUUCAACAUUCUGUAUCCUGUUAACUAUAUUAUACCUUCGAAUAAUUUCUGUAAUUAAGUGUUCAAACUAUCAAUGAAGUAGAAUAAAUUUGUUCCAUGUAA
Molecule: long non-coding RNA, 456 nt
Organism: Nilaparvata lugens (brown planthopper)
Lineage: Eukaryota; Metazoa; Arthropoda; Insecta; Hemiptera; Delphacidae
Exons: 3
Source: RefSeq, a predicted model, not a curated record